Molecule: long non-coding RNA, 2275 nt
Filed under: Linum usitatissimum (flax)
Lineage: Eukaryota; Viridiplantae; Streptophyta; Magnoliopsida; Malpighiales; Linaceae
Description: long non-coding RNA (LUSI_LNC008146)
Source: RNAcentral
UAAGUGCAUAACUGUCCGAACAGAACGACCGUGAUCCUGCCUCUGCCUAAUCACCAAUCGUCGUCUGUCAUGUGGUAGCCGGACCUAAGUCAGAAACAAAUGUCUGCGAUGUGGCAGCUAGGCUCAUGCCAUGAUGAGAUUAUAUAUAUGACACAAUCAUCACUACGUCAUCUAUUUUGACCCUACAUGCUGAAGCUAUACGCUACUCGAAUCUAUAUGUAUACGGCUAGUCAUAUGCCUUCGGGCUAAACUCGGGCACUUACGCUACGACCAGUAAAGAUUCCCCAUCCGUGCUGUCUAUGUGACAUGAGACUGCGAGAUCAAAGAAACCAUUAUGGGCGUUGAAGGACGAAAACAAACAUUAUGGAAAGUGAUAAAAAAUAAAAAGUUACUAGAAAGGACAGGGGGUAUUGAGAAAUUAUUGAACACCCAAGUCCUUAUAAAAGAAAAUUUGAGAUGAAAGGUGGGCUUAUCAUGUAAAUAUGAAACAAUUGGCACACCAGGUUUGGACCCUAAUAAGUUGUCGCUUUACAACAAAGCAAACCUCCCUAUCAAUUAUCAAACACUCCCCCCUGCUGGCUUAUUAGCCGCCUCCGUUCACUGAUAAGCAACCCCCCCGUAAUUAGCCUACCAGACAAUUCUGCUAAUGUCAAGUCAAUUUGACAGACAGAUACUUCGUCGUAUUACUUCUUGUUAAUAAAUUAACUCUCCCUAAUCAUAAAUUUUUUAGUUCUCCCAUCUACGUACAAAACAAAUACCUUCCAUAUCAUUGUCAUGUCACAAACUUAUAAGUCCAUCGUAAUAACUCAUAAAAUGUAACCUAACACACUCGUUGACAAGACUCAUACAAUGUCAGAAACUUAUUUGUUCUAUGAAUCAACAACAAUCGACUCCAUUAGAACUAACAAGGCUCGUCAUCCUCCCUAGAUAACCUUUCUUCCUAUUAAUGCAAUUUUUGGGUUUAACAUUCCCUUUUUGAGACUCCACUGAUUAGGAAAGCAAUCUCUUAAUAAUGUUAACAAACUUUGUGUUUCUUUUGUUUUGACAUAAAUAGACUUUUUGGGGAGGUAAGAAAAUAAUAAACAAAAACAAAAAGAAAUGAAUCAUCAGUUUAAAAAAUGAGAAUUACAGCAACACUCUCGAAAAAUAUCAAGGACCAUGAAAACCACUAAAUAGACGAUCUCAUUAUCAUUUUUCGUUGUACCAUUUCUCAAAUUCCGACAAGCCAAAAUCUUUAAAGGCUAACUCCUCCUUUAUUAUUAAUGGGCAAAGCUAGUCCAAUUAACUUUCCAACUUUCCCAUCCUCUUUCCAAACAAGGCUAUUUGAGAGGCCUCUCACUUUCUUCUAAUAGAGAUUGGCCAACAAAAAUUUAAUUAUGAGAAAGUUAAAUACGAUUCCAUAAUCAAUUUUUUAAAACAAUAUUAUUAUUUUGGAAAUAUAUAAAUCAGAACGGGAAAAUAUGGAAUAUAUAAUAUUUGAAUGCAAAUGGCAAUUAUUAAAUAGCUGUAGAAAUAAAUAAAAUGAGCAAUUGACUAAUACACGUCAGCACGUGACUCCACCUUUAUAUAAUAAUAAUUUCCCCGUUGCCCCUGUCCAUCUCACAGUCGCAGUCCAACUCCAACUCACAGAAAAAAUUGCAGCGAAAUCUCUCUCUUUAAUCUUUAUAUAUCUGCUCUCCCGUGGAUCAGAGUUUCUCUCUAUCUCCGAAUGUUUCGCUCGAUUCUGUUGAGAUUUUUCCUGCUCUUAAUAGAUUGUGGAAACCCUAAGCUGGCUGCUCUGAUCACCGUUUAGGAAGGGGAAGACGAACACUCUUCUCUGGAAUCCUUUUCUGAAUCAAACUCCCCUUCUUUCCCCCAUUUAUAAAUAUACAUUAGAGAGAGUGGCGAAGUGGAGAAGGGAGUGAGAGGAAGAGGUGACGAAGCGUAUUGCUGUAUGUCAGUAGAUUGUAAAGAGUCUUACCUUGGUGGAAUUGGUGAGCUUGCGAAUCCCUUGCAAUGGCCUCAGCUCAGGAAAAAGCGAAGAUUCCUUCCUCUUCUUCUUCUUCUUCUAAUUCUGCCUGCUGUGGUGGAGAUUCCCGUUCUGUUAUUCCCCGUCAGGCUUCUGUCACUCAGUCCCCUGUUCCUGAGAAUGCCGUCCAGGAUUGGACUGUUCCUCCCGCCGAUCGUCGCCGGAGAGACGAUCAGAUCGGCGUCAAGGCUAUCACGCCCUUGAUUGCUCCUCCGGUCGACUCCCUUCCUGAAUCUUCAGCCAAUUUGGCCGCCAAAGGUACUCCCC